This 497-nucleotide ribosomal RNA is filed under the name uncultured bacterium. RNAcentral describes it as "partial 16S ribosomal RNA". It matches the Rfam family "Bacterial small subunit ribosomal RNA", at positions 28 to 507 of the family's 1533-position model. The record is from RNAcentral.
GAUGAACGCUGGCGGCGUGCCUAAUACAUGCAAGUCGAGCGAACGGACGAGAAGCUUGCUUCUCUGAUGUUAGCGGCGGACGGGUGAGUAACGCGUGGAUAACCUACCUAUAAGACUGGGAUAACUUCGGGAAACCGUAGCUAAUACCGGAUAAUAUUUUGAACCGCAUGGUUCAAAAGUGAAAGACGGUCUUGCUGUCACUUAUAGAUGGAUCCGCGCUGCAUUAGCUAGUUGGUAAGGUAACGGCUUACCAAGGCAACGAUGCAUAGCCGACCUGAGAGGGUGAUCGGCCACACUGGAACUGAGACACGGUCCAGACUCCUACGGGAGGCAGCAGUAGGGAAUCUUCCGCAACGGGCGAAAGCCUGACGGGGCAACGCCGCGUGAGUGAUGAAGGUCUUCGGAUCGUAAAACUCUGUUAUUAGGGAAGAACAUAUGUGUAAGUAACUGUGCACAUCUUGACGGUACCUAAUCAGAAAGCCACGGCUAACUACGUG